This 72-nucleotide transfer RNA is filed under the name Streptomyces albidoflavus. RNAcentral's name for it is "tRNA-Val". It matches the Rfam family "tRNA". From Rfam's summary of the family: Transfer RNA (tRNA) molecules are approximately 80 nucleotides in length. Their secondary structure includes four short double-helical elements and three loops (D, anti-codon, and T loops). Further hydrogen bonds mediate the characteristic L-shaped molecular structure. tRNAs have two regions of fundamental functional importance: the anti-codon, which is responsible for specific mRNA codon recognition, and the 3' end, to which the tRNAs corresponding amino acid is attached (by aminoacyl-tRNA synthetases). tRNAs cope with the degeneracy of the genetic code in two manners: having more than one tRNA (with a specific anti-codon) for a particular amino acid; and 'wobble' base-pairing, i.e. permitting non-standard base-pairing at the 3rd anti-codon position. The record is from RNAcentral. Lineage: Bacteria; Bacillati; Actinomycetota; Actinomycetes; Kitasatosporales; Streptomycetaceae.
GCGCGAUUAGCUGAGCGGGAGAGCGCUUCCCUGACACGCCAGAGGUCACUGGUUCAAUCCCAGUAUCGCGCA